This 79-nucleotide non-coding RNA is filed under the name unclassified sequences. RNAcentral describes it as "chrB RNA". It matches the Rfam family "chrB-a RNA". The record is from RNAcentral.
GCGAUGGGGAUCGCGAUCUCCCCACGAGGCGACAGCCGAAGCAUCGCGUCCUGCCAGGUUCACAAAGGACGCUGCCAUG